AUUGAACGCUGGCGGCAGGCUUAACACAUGCAAGUCGAGCGGGGUGAUGGUGCUUGCACUAUCACUUAGCGGCGGACGGGUGAGUAAUGCUUAGGAAUCUGCCUAUUAGUGGGGGACAACAUCUCGAAAGGGAUGCUAAUACCGCAUACGUCCUACGGGAGAAAGCAGGGGAUCACUUGUGACCUUGCGCUAAAAGAUGACCCUAAGUCGGAUUAGCUAGUUGGUGGGGUAAAGGCCUACCAAGGCGACGACCUGUAGCGGGUCUGAGAGGAUGAUCCGCCACACUGGGACUGAGACACGGCCCAGACUCCUACGGGAGGCAGCAGUGGGGAAUAUUGGACAAUGGGGGGAACCCUGAUCCAGCCAUGCCGCGUGUGUGAAGAAGGCCUUAUGGUUGUAAAGCACUUUAAGCGAGGAGGAGGCUCUUUUGGUUAAUACCCAAGAUGAGUGGACGUUACUCGCAGAAUAAGCACCGGCUAACUCUGUGCCAGCAGCCGCAGUAA
This 503-nucleotide ribosomal RNA is filed under the name uncultured bacterium. Its description in RNAcentral is "partial 16S ribosomal RNA". It matches the Rfam family "Bacterial small subunit ribosomal RNA", at positions 30 to 523 of the family's 1533-position model. The record is from RNAcentral.